RNAcentral lists this ribosomal RNA (253 nucleotides) under uncultured bacterium. RNAcentral's name for it is "partial 16S ribosomal RNA". It matches the Rfam family "Bacterial small subunit ribosomal RNA", at positions 524 to 776 of the family's 1533-position model. The record is from RNAcentral.
UACAGAGGUCUCAAGCGUUGUUCGGAUUCAUUGGGCGUAAAGGGUGCGUAGGCGGCGGGGCAAGUCGGAUGUGAAAUCUCAGGGCUCAACCCUGAAACUGCAUUCGAUACUGUCUUGCUCGAGGACUGGAGAGGAGAUUGGAAUUCACGGUGUAGCAGUGAAAUGCGUAGAUAUCGUGAGGAAGACCAGUGGCGAAGGCGGAUCUCUGGACAGUUCCUGACGCUGAGGCACGAAGGCCAGGGGAGCAAACGGG